CGAGCCUUGUCCAAGUUAGUCUGAAGGCGGUAUUAGGCAGGAAAGCGCCCACAGGAGAAACAGCUGGGAUGCAGACCGACUAUGGAAAUCUCAGUUCUAGGAACCGUGUCCUUUCGUCCCAAAGCUAGCCCUGAGUAAUCCCUGCUGCCCUACCGGGUGGUUCAAGGUGGGAGCCAGAGGGGGAGCCAUCUCGGACCUGGUCAUAGAAAAAGGAUGAAUGAACAGCUUCAUCUGGAACCUGCAUGGUGUUUUCAUAACAGACAGUGAAAGCGUACAAGGUCAAGACAAGUCACACACAUUUAUCUCAUGUGGCAUGAGAUACAUUCCCCUACGUGCCUUUGGCAAACCCCGACAUGCCUUUGGCAAAGAAAGAAACAUAGGCUUCAAGUUCAUGUGGAAGGGAAGUACUGGCCGAAAAGUGACUACAGGAAGGUGAGAAGGAACACUGAUUCUGAGAUUCCAGGAGACAUAUGAUGUCUGUGUUUUAGUCAGCAUUUUUGCUGCUGCAACCAAAAAACCCAACAAGAACAAUUUUAGAGAAGGAAAAGUUCAUCAUGGGGCUCAUGGUUUCAGAGGUCUCAGUCCACAGCCAGCCAGCUCCAUUGCUCUGGAUCAAAGGUAUGGAAGAACAUUAUGGUAGAAUAGUACAGUGGAGGAAAGCUGCUCAGGACAUGGCACCAGGAAACAGAGAGAGCGAGCUUCAUUCAAUAAGGAUAAAAUAUAUACCCCAAAAAGUAUCCUCCCAGGAACCCACCUCCUCCAGCCACACCCUAC
Marmota monax (woodchuck) is the source of this 774-nucleotide long non-coding RNA. RefSeq lists it as uncharacterized. The record is from RefSeq and is a predicted model, not a curated record. The transcript is spliced from 4 exons. Lineage: Eukaryota; Metazoa; Chordata; Mammalia; Rodentia; Sciuridae.